RNAcentral lists this ribosomal RNA (253 nucleotides) under uncultured bacterium. RNAcentral's name for it is "partial 16S ribosomal RNA". It matches the Rfam family "Bacterial small subunit ribosomal RNA", at positions 524 to 776 of the family's 1533-position model. The record is from RNAcentral.
UACGUAGGAGGCAAGCGUUGUCCGGAAUUACUGGGCGUAAAGCGCGUGUAGGUGGUGGGACAAGUCUGCUGUGAAAGCGCCUGGCUUAACCGGGCGAGGUCGGCGGAAACUGUCGCACUCGAGGACGGUAGAGGGGGGUGGAAUUCCCGGUGUAGUGGUGAAAUGCGUAGAGAUCGGGAGGAACACCUGUGGCGAAGGCGGCCCCCUGGGCCGGCCCUGACACUGAGACGCGAAAGCGUGGGGAGCAAACAGG